GACGAACGCUGGCGGCGUGCUUAACACAUGCAAGUCGUACGGUAAGGCCCUUUCGGGGGUACACGAGUGGCGAACGGGUGAGUAACACGUGAGUAACCUGCCCACAACUUUGGGAUAACGCUAGGAAACUGGUGCUAAUACUGGAUAUGUGCUCCUGCUGCAUGGUGGGGGUUGGAAAGCUCCGGCGGUUGUGGAUGGACUCGCGGCCUAUCGGCUUGUUGGUGGGGUAGUGGCCUACCAAGGCGGCGACGUGUAGCCGGCCUGAGAGGGUGACCGGCCACAUUGGGACUGAGAUACGGCCCAGGCUCCGACGGGAGGCAGAAGGGGGGAAUAUUGCACAAUGGGCGCAAGCCGGAUGCAGCAACGCCGCGUGCGGGAUGACGGCCUUCGGGUUGGAAACCGCUUUCAGCAGGGACGAAGCUUUUUGUGACGGUACCUGCAGAAGAAGCACCGGCUAACUACGUG
Molecule: ribosomal RNA, 465 nt
Filed under: uncultured bacterium
Lineage: Bacteria
Description: partial 16S ribosomal RNA
Rfam family: Bacterial small subunit ribosomal RNA
Source: RNAcentral